AUACAAAUCGGAACAGUACCUAUAAUGCCUGCAUCUGAUGUCUCAACCUCCAAGCUAGUCGUUGGCUGAUCCCUACUGCUGGCGUUCUGAACUCCACCUCUAAGACCUCUACCCCCGCCUCUAGCCAGCUGGGUUGGCUGUGGAACCUCUGAUUCCCGGAGCCAAGCACGAUAUCUCUGCUACUGAGAGCUGCUCAGAGCUCUAGGGCAAAAUCUUACCAUGUGCCUUGGAUCACCACAAGCAUGGCAAAACCUCGACUGCUGCGGAAGGGCACCCCUCAGCCUCGGGCAGGCCCUCCUGAGGUGACCAUACUCGCCACACUCAUAACACCUACAGACAUGCUGAAACUAAGGAAAAUUAGGCUGGCCCUUUCGACUUAAACGAUCACCAAAAGUACCAUGAGUGGCAGGGGAAAUCGACUGAAAGGGCCAUGAAGGAUGGCCUCUACCAUAAGAACCUCUACCUGCAGAAGAGGUACCACUGAAUCUGGUAGACACGCUGCAACUUAGGAAACUAAGGCUGGCCUUGUCGACCCAAACGAUCACCUAAAGUAC
This 554-nucleotide long non-coding RNA is filed under the name Nicotiana benthamiana. RNAcentral's name for it is "long non-coding RNA (NBEN_LNC010361)". The record is from RNAcentral. Lineage: Eukaryota; Viridiplantae; Streptophyta; Magnoliopsida; Solanales; Solanaceae.